AGUAAAAUUCCAUUAAACCUAAUCUUACGAUAUUGAAAACAAUUAGAAAGAAGAUUAGAUGGAAGAGGACUUGCAUUAUGCUAUAUAGAUAUAUGAGUAGAGAUACAUGAAAAGAAUUCAUACUGCGAUUUUCAAUUGUGGAAUGGACUUCUAUUUCUGCAAACAUAUAUCAAUUUGCUGAAGACAAAAAUCGAGUAAUACUUUCUAAAAACAUUCAUGUUAUUUUCAUAUGAAAAAACAGAAAAUGUAUCAAGAGGACCUAACUGUUGCACAUCAUCAGUUAGAUGAAUUAGGCCGUGUAUAUUAUAAGAAUAAAAAGUCGGGCCGUAAAGAUCUUGGCAUCUUUCUACAAAUUUUUGUAAUGUAAGAUCUGCAAAGCUUAGAUGUGCUUUUGAUGGAGAUACAGAAAUUAAAAUCCUUAUAGCAGCAUGCAAAAACAAAAAGUAUAUAAGCUAAUUGAUCAAGAAUGCCAUGUGUUACUAUUGGAUCAGUAUAGAGAAGAAAUUGGCGAUAUUCUAUGGCUUUAUAUUUUGUGCACAUAGCAAAUUUAGGACGCUUUGCAAAAUCAGAUUGGCAAUAUUUUGCGAGUGCUUCUAAUCAUGUUGAUAUAAUAGAAAUUGAUUUUGCAGAUAAUUUUGAUAAGCGUGAAUAUUUUCCAUACACCCAUGCGAAGAACAAUUGUCAUAACACCUAGCAAUACGAGAUGCAUGUAUGCAAAAGAUACUUGAGAAACUAUCUCUAUCAGUAAUGCUAAAGGACUUUUGUCAUCUUUAUGAUGCUUGCUGCAAUCACAAUUUUAACAAAUCGACUCGAAGUUUCAAGAAGAAACUCUAGUUUCAAGCAAUAGUUAGAGAAGCUUUGCGUUCAGCG
Long non-coding RNA from Atta colombica, 870 nucleotides. RefSeq lists it as uncharacterized. Lineage: Eukaryota; Metazoa; Arthropoda; Insecta; Hymenoptera; Formicidae. The record is from RefSeq and is a predicted model, not a curated record. The transcript has 2 exons.